This 1357-nucleotide ribosomal RNA is filed under the name Limnebius truncatellus. Its description in RNAcentral is "SSU rRNA". It matches the Rfam family "Eukaryotic small subunit ribosomal RNA", at positions 69 to 1366 of the family's 1831-position model. Lineage: Eukaryota; Metazoa; Arthropoda; Insecta; Coleoptera; Hydraenidae. The record is from RNAcentral. RNAcentral also lists the same sequence under 1 other name.
GCCAAAUUAAGGUGAAACCGCGAAAGGCUCAUUAAAUCAGUUAUGGUUCCUUAGAUCGUACCCACACUUACUUGGAUAACUGUGGUAAUUCUAGAGCUAAUACAUGCAAAUAGAGCCCCGACCGGAGACGGAAGGGGCGCUUUUAUUAGAUCAAAACCAAUCGGUGGCGGUUCGCCGUCACCGUACUCCUUGGUGACUCUGAAUAACUUGUUGCUGAUCGCACGGUCUCGAACCGGCGACGCAUCUUUCAAAUGUCUGCCUUAUCAACUGUCGAUGGUAGGUUCUGCGCCUACCAUGGUUGUAACGGGUAACGGGGAAUCAGGGUUCGAUUCCGGAGAGGGAGCCUGAGAAACGGCUACCACAUCCAAGGAAGGCAGCAGGCGCGCAAAUUACCCACUCCCGGCACGGGGAGGUAGUGACGAAAAAUAACGAUACGGGACUCAUCCGAGGCCCCGUAAUCGGAAUGAGUACACUCUAAACCCUUUAACGAGGAUCAAUUGGAGGGCCAGUCUGGUGCCAGCAGCCGCGGUAAUUCCAGCUCCAAUAGCGUAUAUUAAAGUUGUUGCGGUUAAAAAGCUCGUAGUCGAAUCUGUGUCUCGCGCCGCCGGUUCAUCGCUCGCGGUGUUUAACUGGCGUGCUCGCGGGACGUCCUGCCGGUGGGCCUACCUCCUUGGAGCGGCCCCACUACAAAUCCCGUUGCGGUGCUCUUCACCGAGUGUCGCAGCGGGCCGGCACGUUUACUUUGAACAAAUUAGAGUGCUUAAAGCAGGCUAAAACUUCGCCUGAAUACUGUGUGCAUGGAAUAAUGGAAUAGGACCUCGGUUCUAUUUUGUUGGUUUUCGGAACCCCGAGGUAAUGAUUAAUAGGAACGGAUGGGGGCAUUCGUAUUGCGACGUUAGAGGUGAAAUUCUUGGAUCGUCGCAAGACGGACAGAAGCGAAAGCAUUUGCCAAAAACGCUUUCAUUGAUCAAGAACGAAAGUUAGAGGUUCGAAGGCGAUCAGAUACCGCCCUAGUUCUAACCAUAAACGAUGCCAGCUAGCGAUCCGCCGGCGUUCCUCCGAUGACCCGGCGGGCAGCUUCCGGGAAACCAAAGCUUUUGGGUUCCGGGGGAAGUAUGGUUGCAAAGCUGAAACUUAAAGGAAUUGACGGAAGGGCACUACCAGGAGUGGAGCCUGCGGCUUAAUUUGACUCAACACGGGAAAUCUCACCAGGCCAGGACACUGUAAGGAUUGACAGAUUGAGAGCUCUUUCUUGAUUCAGUGGGUGGUGGUGCAUGGCCGUUCGUAGUUGGUGGAGCGAUUUGUCUGGUUAAUUCCGAUAACGAACGAGACUCUAGCCUGUUAACUAUUCAUUCAA